CAUAUGAUGAUGUUCAAAGAGGUUUGGAGCCUUUGUGCUCUCCAAUUAAAUGCAGGGAGUAUUUAGAUUGAUAUUAGAUUAUCAAAAUUUUUUAUGGUUUACGUGAUCGGACUAAUAAUUAAGUAUCCAAGCUCCGUUUAGCAAAAUCCAAUUGAUAAUUAAUAUAUAAUAUUUUUAUAAUUACUACUUAAUAUGAUAUGAAUAUGAUAUCAAAAUUAUGAUAAAAAUUCUAUUAAAAAAUAAAAAAAAUACAAAAAAUUGAAACAGGCCCAUAGAUUUUGAGAAAAUUUCAAAAAAUAUGACAAUA
Long non-coding RNA from Brassica rapa (field mustard), 307 nucleotides. RefSeq lists it as uncharacterized. The record is from RefSeq and is a predicted model, not a curated record. Lineage: Eukaryota; Viridiplantae; Streptophyta; Magnoliopsida; Brassicales; Brassicaceae.